This 224-nucleotide unclassified non-coding RNA is filed under the name Hevea brasiliensis (rubber tree). Lineage: Eukaryota; Viridiplantae; Streptophyta; Magnoliopsida; Malpighiales; Euphorbiaceae. The record is from RNAcentral.
GUGCAUAGAUUAUAGGAAAUUGAAUAGUGUCACCAAAAAGAACCAUUUUCCUCUUCCUUUCAUAGACUCAAUGUUAGAAAUAUUAGUAAAACAUUCCUACUUCUGCUAUCAAGAUAGGUAUUCGGGAUUUUUCCAAAUUCUUAUCCACCCAGAAGACCAACAAAAGACCACAAUCACAUGCUCUUACGGAACAUUUGCAUAUAGAAGAAUGCUCUUUGGUCUUU